UUGCAGCACCUUCACAAAGCCGAGGGGCUCCUUGACCACCCGGAACUGACCCCCAGCCACCAGCUGAGGAGAGAAACAGUGGGGAAGGGGUGGGGUUGUUGGAGGUACAGGGAGGUGAGCGGCAAGGCUGCCCAUCAAUGACCCCAGGGGAUGGAGCAUGUGACCUCGGGGAGAGGGUGAGAAGGAGAAAGUGACACCUUGGGGAUGGUGUGAGCCCCAGGGUCCAAGGACUGGUGGGAAGGUCUGAAGAGAUGCUGAAUAAACUAAGAGGCGGAGAGGAAUUUUCCUAAGUUCACACAGCUGGUAAAUUGGUAGAACCAGGAUAUGAACCCAGGAAGUCUGGCUCCAGCACCUGUUACUCUUAGCCACUGUGCUAACUUAUCAGUACACCAUCUUUUUUUUUUCAGCACACCAUCUUGUAUGUCUGUGAAAGAUACCUGAUAAUACUAUUUGCUUCCAGAGGGUAGGGAAACUUUUCACUUUAUACCCCUUUGUACCUUUUGAGACUCCAUCUCAAAUAAAAUAAAAAAAUAAACAGCCUGGUAGUGUAUCAUCUUAUACAUACACCUUUUAGCACAUAUAUGAGUCUACCUGUAAGAAAUUCCUAGAAGUAUGAAGCUGAACAAAACAGUAAAUGAAUUUAUUUUUCUAGAUUUUGCCCAGUUGCCUUCUACACAGGUUAUACCAAUGAAACUUCCACAAGCGAUUUAUGAGAACGCUUGUUUCUGGCCAACCUGCCAGUAUGGAACAUUAUCAAACUUUUUGAUACUCACCACCCUGAAAGAUGAAAAACAGCAUCUCAGUAGUUUUGUUUUGUUUUGUUUUUGAGACAGAGUCUCACUCUGUUGCCCAGGCUGGAGUGCAGUGGUGCAAUCUCAGUUCACUGCAACCUCCGCCUCCUGGGUUCAAACGAUUCUCCUACCUCUGCCUCCUGAGUAGCUGGGAUUACAAGCACAAACCACCACGUCCGGCUAUUUUUUUUUUUUUUUUUUUUUUUUUUAGUAGAGAUGGGGUUUUGCCAUGUUGGCCAGGCUGGUUGUGAACUCCUGACCUUAAGUGAUCCACUGUCCACUUGGCCUCCCAAAGUGCUGGGAUUACAGGUGUGAGCCACUGCAUCUGGCCUACCUUUUGAAUUUUGAACCAUCUGAAUGAAUAUCUUUUUUUUGAGACAGGGUUUCCCUGUGUUGCCCAGGCUGGAGUCCAGUGGCAUGAAUAUGGCUCACUGCAGCCUCGACCUCCUGGGCUCAAGCGAUCCUCCUGCCUCAGCCUCCUAUGUAGCUGGGACCACAGGCGUGAGACACCACGCCCAGCUAAUUUUUAAAUAUUUUUGUAGAGACGAGGUCUCACUUUGUUGCCCAGGCUGGUCUUGAACUCCUGGGCUCAAGUGAUCCUCCCGCCUCAGCCUCCCAAAGUGCUGAGAUGACAGGCAUGAGUCACCAUGCCCAGCUCAAUACCUGUUUUUUUAAACAUGAAAAUUCACACAUAUAUGUAAUGGAUACUUCCCUGUUGUUGCCUUAUUGGGGAAGCAGUACACAGGAGGGGUUAAAAGCAUGGAUCUUGGCAUCAAACUGCUUGAAUUUGAAUGCCACCUCUGAUACUUCUUGUUUGACCCUGGACAGGUAAGAUGGUUUAAAAUGAUACCUAUAAGGUUGUUGCACUGAUUCAACGAGAUGAUCACUGUAAUGCAGUUAGCACAGGGCCCAAUAAAUGGUUCAUUUUACCUCCUACACAUCUCUGGAAUCCACUCACUUCUCACCAUCUCCUCUGCCACCUCCUCUGGCUAAGGCGACCAUCAUUCCUGCCAAUUUUAGCAUCUCCAGUCUCUUCCCCCUCCCUUCUGUUUUCAGCACAGCCGUCAGAACAUCUAUUUAAAAUGCAAUGUUAACUAUGUCACUACCCUACUCAAAUCCCUCCCAUGGCUCCCCACUGCUUAUAGGAAAAAUCCCAGAGUUUGGGACCUGGCAUUCAAGGUUCCACCUGAUCUGGCCUCAGUGGCUUCUCCCACCUCAUCCCUCAACAGUCUCCCUUCACUCUCUGUGCCCUGCCCAUGACUUGCUGUUCUCACCUAACUCCAGCCCAACCACUUUAAGCCUUUGUUUCAAGGCCUAAUGUAACUCAAUCUUCUCAGUCCUAGUCUCCAAUUCUGGCUUCCCUCAAAUUUCAGUCCUGGCUUGAUUGGCGCAGAUUAUACAAAUGAGACACCCCUGUUCUGGGAGCUGGGAAGAGUUCCUCCCCGACUGGUGGUCUCAUCCUGCACCACUCCCAAUGCUACCU
RNAcentral lists this long non-coding RNA (2274 nucleotides) under Homo sapiens (human). Its description in RNAcentral is "HSALNT0282563". The record is from RNAcentral. Lineage: Eukaryota; Metazoa; Chordata; Mammalia; Primates; Hominidae.